This is a small nuclear RNA of Arabidopsis thaliana (thale cress), 101 nucleotides long. Lineage: Eukaryota; Viridiplantae; Streptophyta; Magnoliopsida; Brassicales; Brassicaceae. The record is from RefSeq.
ACAACCUGACAUUUGAUUUGCUUUAUAACCUUCCCAAAUGCUAAGCUCUGUCCCGUGAACUGUUUCACAAACCUAAGAGAAAAAAAUCAAAACUUUGCCUC